AAUGAACGCUGGCGGCAUGCCUAACACAUGCAAGUCGAACGAAGGCUUCGGCCUUAGUGGCGCACGGGUGCGGAACGCGUGGGAAUCUGCCCCUUGGUUCGGAAUAACAGUUAGAAAUGACUGCUAAUACCGGAUGGUGACGUACGUCCAAAGAUUUAUCGCCGAGGGGUGAGCCCGCGUAGGAUUAGCUAGUUGGUGUGGUAAGAGCGCACCAAGGCGACGAUCCUUAGCUGGUCGGAGAGGAUGAUCAGCCACACUGGGACUGAGACACGGCCCAGACUCCUACGGGAGGCAGCAGUGGGGAAUAUUGGACAAUGGGCGAAAGCCUGAUACAGCAAUGCCGCGUAAGUGAUGAAGGCCUUAGGGUUGUAAAGCCCUUUUACACGGGAUGAUAAUGACAGUACCGGGAGAAUAAGCACCGGCUAACUCCGUG
Molecule: ribosomal RNA, 433 nt
Filed under: uncultured bacterium
Lineage: Bacteria
Description: partial 16S ribosomal RNA
Rfam family: Bacterial small subunit ribosomal RNA
Source: RNAcentral